AACGAACGCUGGCGGCAUGCCUAACACAUGCAAGUCGAACGAUUGCCUUCGGGUGAUAGUGGCGCACGGGUGCGUAACGCGUGGGAAUCUGCCCUUAGGUUCGGAAUAACAGCUGGAAACGGCUGCUAAUACCGGAUGAUAUCGCGAGAUCAAAGAUUUAUCGCCUGAGGAUGAGCCCGCGUUGGAUUAGGUAGUUGGUGGGGUAAAGGCCUACCAAGCCGACGAUCCAUAGCUGGUCUGAGAGGAUGAUCAGCCACACUGGGACUGAGACACGGCCCAGACUCCUACGGGAGGCAGCAGUGGGGAAUAUUGGACAAUGGGCGCAAGCCUGAUCCAGCAAUGCCGCGUGAGUGAUGGAGGCCCUAGGGUUGUAAAGCUCUUUUACCCGGGAAGAUAAUGACUGUACCGGGAGAAUAAGCCCCGGCUAACUCCGUG
RNAcentral lists this ribosomal RNA (435 nucleotides) under uncultured bacterium. RNAcentral describes it as "partial 16S ribosomal RNA". It matches the Rfam family "Bacterial small subunit ribosomal RNA", at positions 29 to 507 of the family's 1533-position model. The record is from RNAcentral.